GGAAGUAAAAGUCGUAAUAAGGUUUCCGUAGGUGAACCUGCGGAAGGAUCAUUAUCGUACCAAAUGUGUCAGGCAUGCUUGGGCUGUUGCUGACUCAAAAAGUCGUGCACGCUGGAGGGUGUCCUCUCACAUAAUAAUCCAUCUCACCCUUUGUGCGUCACCGCGUGGGCACCCUUUGGGAUCGGACCGAUCUCGGAAGGGGGCCCGCGUUUUCACACAAACCCCCCCAUCUAAAAGUGUAGAAUGUCCUCAUUUAUGCAAUAAAUACAACUUUCAACAACGGAUCUCUUGGCUCUC
Molecule: unclassified non-coding RNA, 297 nt
Filed under: plant metagenome
Description: partial contains small subunit ribosomal RNA, internal transcribed spacer 1, and 5.8S ribosomal RNA
Rfam family: Eukaryotic small subunit ribosomal RNA (bases 1-54)
Source: RNAcentral